AGUGGAUAGUAUAGCAGGAAGACAGACAGUAUUAUUGCUUUAAUCGAUCAGCUCGAUAAUUCUAUUACCAUUUGCGUUAUUCAAAUGGUAUUUAAUUUUCCGCAACGUUACCUUUAUUUCCCGAUUUACAUUUCAUUCGUUCGGAAUUGUCUCGCUCCCCUCUCUCCCUCCACUUCCACCAACUAUCCCAUCCGUUCUUGGUGCUGGUACGAGUUCAUUCUUUCUUUUUUCUUUCACUUUUUUUCGGGGUCAUUUAAAAACUGCGGUCUUUCGCAUCUGCAUAUCGUUAACCUUUUUACGGUGUACUGUAAAAUGUUGCGGCCGCCGGUAUUUCGAAAAUUUUAUGGAUAACUAUGAUAAUACAACGUUUGAAAAUGGAAACAAGGAUGAGGAAUGAACAUGUUGGGUAAGUAAAAGCAAACUCUAUUAUUUAUCACAAUAUAUGCAUAGUUCCUUUCAGAAGUCUUAGGACAUCUUCUAUUUUCAAUAUAAUUUUGAAAUUUGAUACAAAGUGUGAAUUUUAAGUUGUUGAUACUUUGGUAGUAUAUAUUUUUUUAUUAUACAU
This 565-nucleotide unclassified non-coding RNA is filed under the name Bombus terrestris (buff-tailed bumblebee). RNAcentral describes it as "misc RNA ENSBTSG00005025084.1". The record is from RNAcentral. Lineage: Eukaryota; Metazoa; Arthropoda; Insecta; Hymenoptera; Apidae.